UGCGAGUCACGCCGCAAGGCGUGGCAUACGGCUCAGUAACACGUAGUCAGCAUGCCCAAAGGACGUGGAUAACCUCGGGAAACUGAGGAUAAACCGCGAUAGGCCAAGGUUUCUGGAAUGAGCCAUGGCCGAAAUCUAUAUGGCCUUUGGAUUGGACUGCGGCCGAUCAGGCUGUUGGUGAGGUAAUGGCCCACCAAACCUGUUACCGGUACGGGCUUUGAGAGAAGGAGCCCGGAGAUGGGCACUGAGACAAGGGCCCAGGCCCUAUGGGGCGCAGCAGGCGCGAAACCUCUGCAAUAGGCGAAAGCCUGACAGGGUUACUCUGAGUGAUGCCCGCUAAGGGUAUCUUUUGGCACCUCUAAAAAUGGUGCAGAAUAAGGGGUGGGCAAGUCUGGUGUCAGCCGCCGCGGUAAUACCAGCACCCCGAGUUGUCGGGACGAUUAUUGGGCCUAAAGCAUCCGUAGCCUGUUCUGCAAGUCCUCCGUUAAAUCCACCUGCUCAACGGAUGGGCUGCGGAGGAUACCGCAGAGCUAGGAGGCGGGAGAGGCAAACGGUACCCAGUGGGUAGGGGUAAAAUCCAUUGAUCUACUGAAGACCACCAGUGGCGAAGGCGGUUUGCCAGAACGCGCUCGACGGUGAGGGAUGAAAGCUGGGGGAGCAAACCGGAUUAGAUACCCGGGUAGUCCCAGCUGUAAACGAUGCAGACUCGGUGAUAGGUUGGCUUCGAGCCAACCCAGUGCCGCAGGGAAGCCGUUAAGUCUGCCGCCUGGGGAGUACGGUCGCAAGACUGAAACUUAAAGGAAUUGGCGGGGGAGCACCACAAGGGGUGAAGCCUGCGGUUCAAUUGGAUUCAACGCCGGG
RNAcentral lists this ribosomal RNA (861 nucleotides) under uncultured archaeon. Its description in RNAcentral is "bacterial SSU rRNA". It matches the Rfam family "Archaeal small subunit ribosomal RNA", at positions 52 to 922 of the family's 1478-position model. The record is from RNAcentral.